CCCCCCAGCACAUUUUGAUUUUACUAGCUUUUGGUCUGUUGUACUACAGAUCUUACUGUUCUGUGGUGUUGAUGCUCACAGCAUAUAGGAAAGACCUGUUUAACUCUAUGCAUUUCUCUAGCAACCUUCCUGUGCAACUAAAUUUAUUCCACCUGAAGAAUGUUCAGCUUUCUUCCAGGACUCCUGAAACACAUAAUAAGCCACCAGGAACUCCAGCCUCCUGUUAAAUAAGAACUUUUUGAGCUCCCUCUGACAAAGCACAUGCUUCAGUCCUGCAGGAGAAAUGAGGGAAAUGUGAGGGUUUUAUCCACUUGAGUGCAAAGGGAGAGAAGGGUUAGCAAAAUAUUCUUGUCCUUGAAGAAAACUAAACUCAUGAGACAUUCAACAGAUAGAAUCAAUAGGGGCCAGAAGGAGAAGAGGAAAAUAUAUCUUCUUGACACAUGCAGGGCCCGAUAAAUCUGAUUUACUUUUGAAGUCAGAAGUUGAUACCCAAAUAAGAAUUUGAUUCUCAAAGAAACUUGAAAGACUUGUCUGGAGAAUGAAUGCUAAGUUACAAAGGAUUAGAUGUUACUGUAUGAUUGCUUCUGAAACUAAGAAGCAGCAUGAGAUUGAGUUUCCUGAUGCUCAAAGAAAUUGCAAGUAUUUGCAGCUUCAUCUGCUCUGAGCUCUGUGGUCCUUGGCCUCUGGCUUUGAAGAAAUAAAACCCGUUUUUUCUAGGUGGUCUAUAACACUGCAACAAUGAUGCAACAAAUGAUGGCUCCAAGAUGAAACAUAGUACAUGAAACCGAUUUUCUCUGUAGACACAAACUUAUUUUUCUCAGAGUUUGGCCAAGGAGUUCACAGACAGUGCCUGUCAAUGCAGAGAGACACUGCCAUUGCAGCCUGGGAGUGCAGCCAGCAGACUUGGGAACAUCUGCUAGCUGUAACUGUAGUGAGACACAUGGCCAUGGAGACGUCUGUAUGGGGGAAGGCGGAGCUCUUGGGGAAGAGAGCUAGCAGAUGUCAGGUCUGAUAAGAGCAGUGCUCCAACAGAGUACAGAUAAUUAAAAAAAACAAGCUAGAGAAGGCUCAGAAGUCCCUGCUAGGUGGUUUUCACAAGAAUGUGGAAGUUUCCAUACAUGCUAAGGAAACACUUUCAACUUGGUUACUCAUUCACUUCUGCUUGUCAAGUGGCAACGGUCUGAAUUUAAGGUGUUUCUACUACACUCCGGGAACAGAGGCAGGAGCAAUAACAGGUAUGAGCACAGUCUAAUUGCAGUUUGGGGGCAGCAUGAAGACCUGUUACUAUGGAGCAGCAAGGGUUGAAUCUGGGCUUCAGCAGAGUCAGUCUGCAGAGCUUUGUCACUGACUCACUGGAUUGAGAUGUGGAUCACAGAUUUGUACAGAUUUCUGAGCUGCACAGGCAAGACCUUCCAGAGCACUGGGACAGCAACUGAACAUGACAGUGGGCCCUGAGUGAAGUCAGUGGCCUGGGAAGCUUGGGCAUUAUUGUUGUUUGUGGAACCUGAUGCUCUCAGCCUUUACCGAUAUUCCACCACUUACAAGGAAAGCUAGGAAAAACAGAGCAUGGACUUCCAUGGACACAAGCAAGCAGAGAGACAAGGACACCUUGGUGUGUAGAGGAAGAACCUGUAGCUUGCUCAGGCACCACUCUGCAGCUCAGUGCUAUCCACAGAGCCAGGCCAGAAACACACAGAGGCCAAAGAAAUCUCUCUGUGGUAUGUGCUGCACUGCGCACAGUGAGCAGCUGACCCACCGAGGCCAACCUGACAUAAACCACAGCAAUAACCUCCAGAAGAAAAGUACUCUAGAAGGGCAGGGCAUUUCUGGGAUGAACCUCCUGGCCUCCAUUUUACUCUUUUCUAAAGGUGUGGGACACCAGAGUUGGUGGUGCCAGUGACAGAAGUUACCGUGAAUCAGUAAGAAUAGUGGCGUUUGACUUCAGUGACAUGCUUGUCUCACGAAACAGAUGUCACCGAGUGUGGUCUAACACUUAAACUGAGUGACAUCUGGGGUGAGGCGGGGGCCUCGCAGCCCUGUGUUGCUUCAGUAAAAGCCCGAAGGACCCCUGUACAUCUGUACUUAAUCCCCCACCCCAUGGUGAACUGUUUGGCCCCACUGACCUUCCAGGACUGACAAUCCUUGCUAAGGGCCAAUCGGCACACAAUAAUUGACUUCGUUCCACCUUGCCACGAGUACAAAUCUGGUAUUUAGAAUUUUGAGGGCAAGAACUCUAACUACCAGGCGGGUCAAUGGGCCUGGACCUCUCUCCUUCCCAAGCAGGGACACCUCUUUGGUAAGACUCACACCUCCAACUACAUUGGAUGUUACCCAGGAAAGUACUGUUAACAAGAGCGCUGAACUUUUCACAUGAGCUCGAUUUUCACACCAGCUGGUCUGCCCUGAAGGAGACAUCUGCUGACACAGGAGCUCCCAGUCUAGACCAACAGUGCUGUCUUAGAAGCGAAGCCUGUGAUCCCAGCCAAGUCACAAAGAAAGCUGUCUGUCACACACAACGUUCUUGCUUCAGGCAUGACAGCCCCAUCAUUUCAUGGGGAGUGGAUGGUGCAGGAGGUCAAAAUCAUGAUGGAUCAAUUAAUCCCUAAGGUAACUAGAUCCAGGCCCAGGAAAUGCCUUGGAAACUAGGAUAAAAAUGAGACUUAAACUGGCAAAACCUAGUAAUUGAACCUGUGGUGGUCUGCUCAUGUGGCAGCAAGAUUGCAUUCAGAUACGUGAGACCUAACUGUUUUGGUGGCUUUUACAGUUUUUAUGUUAUUCUGUCUUCACACACGUGAAGGCAGAAACCAGUUCAAGCAACAUGAAACAGUGCAUAAGGAGAACACAAGCCAAGAAAGAAAAGGAAGAGGUACCUUUGGGGCAAGGCAUUAGCUGUGUUUUUCUAGCUGGGAAAGUGGAAAAACUGGAAGCUGCAGAUUUCAGACGAGCCUGAUGUACCUAUUUCAUUGGGCAAAAUCCACCCCUGUCCAUCCCACACCACAGCAGGUGAGUUUUACCAUACAGGAGCAAAAAGAUUAAAGAGCUUUGGAAAAUAAGGCAGAUAAUGGAAGAAAAUCUCCCUCUGUAAUAACAAAAUGUUUAGCCUAUGAGAGAGAGCCAGGCUCCUACCAAAUACUGAGAACAGGGCGAUAAGCAGGCAGUGCUAAAGAACACAAAACACGAGCAAUACUUUGCCUGGCUAAGCACAAAGGGAGACGGGACAGAUGCGCACAGGCUCGUAUUUCCCCAGGGAGAGAGAAGGAGCAUCAUCUCCUACAUUGUGCCAGAGUAAGGAACCAAUUAACGAGGAUGUCUGAAGAGAGUAUUUCCAGAACCAGAUAGGAGCCAUCCCAGAUUUUGCAAAGAGAUGAAAGAACCAUAGUGGAAUGAUGUGGAAUCACUUUAAAUACAAAAGGACUAGAAGACAAAUUAUUUCCUAGAUUUAAAAAAAUAAUAUAUAUAUUUAAAAGAAUUCUAACGGGAAUGGACUGCAGAGACAUUAGAAGUGACCUCACAGUUAAGGCUGCUUUGAGGACUGUACUUCAGACCAACAUUCUUGUAAGACAGUUUAACAAAGAUCACAUUCAGGCCUUGGAUUCGGCACAGUAACUCUUCAUGGGAUGACUGGUUUGCCUCUAAAAAAUGUCAAGAAAAACAUGCAGCAAUUUUUGCCUAGGGUUAUACUCAUAAAGUCUUUAGGGGCAGAGUCCUUUUGUGAUGAGUACACAGUGCAUGGGACAGUGGAUGCUGUCUCUAGACUUAAUACAAGUAAACCAUACUAGAAAACACUGCCUUUUUAAUUUUUGCUUUGCUUUCUUCACAUUUAAACAGCUAACAUGGAGUGAUUCAGCUUUUUGGCUAUGGGGACUAGAUAAUAAUAUACAAUUUAAACAGCCAGGAGCUGGGGAAGAAAGCUGCUAUUAUGCAGUGGCAGCCUGUGCUGGACAACCUGGAACUAACGUAACACGUGGCCAUCUUUUGGACACCAGGUAAGCUGGGUAUCCGAGUCACUGCUAUUAUCUAAGAAUUCUAAUUCUGUCUCUGUAAAGGACUCACAGGAGACCUCAGCAACAUCAGCUACGCAUCUGUGAUGUGAACCUGGAGACGGACCUAUCUGGGAAGAUAAAAGGGUUGAGGGGGGUACCAGGGAAGCGUGCUUUGGAAGAAAUUGAAAAUGCAACAUAUUACCAGUGUCAAAGAAAGCUGCAGUAGCAAGACAUCUUGAAAUAUGUGAAACAUCACAAAAUUUGCAUUUCACCAUGAAAUUUUUCAAGUUUGACCUUAGAGAAUCCUUCUGUGAUAUCUUUAAUAAUAGCCACUGGAAUAUUUUGAAGUCAAGAAAGCAGUACUUCAACCACUCAUCACCACAACAUCAGAGUAUCCAGAUGCCUUCUAGUGCUAGAAGGAGAAAAAGAACUAAGAGGCGCCUUAGAGAGGAACCACAUGUUCACUGCAGUGCUCCUCACCAAGUCUCCUUCCCAGCGCCACCACCACAGCUCAUUGCACACCCAUGCUGUGCAAUGGCUCAACCUCCUCCUACCCAAGACUCUGUAAAAAAUGCAGAAACACAGCUACCACCAGAAACCCGGUAAUUUUACAUUAAAGAUCCGCAAGCUCAUAUGUCUGCCUUAACAUCAGAAUAACAGUCUAACAGCAAUAAAUAGCAAUGCCGCUCUGA
Falco peregrinus (peregrine falcon) is the source of this 4675-nucleotide long non-coding RNA. RefSeq lists it as uncharacterized. Lineage: Eukaryota; Metazoa; Chordata; Aves; Falconiformes; Falconidae. The record is from RefSeq and is a predicted model, not a curated record. The transcript has 4 exons.